This is a non-coding RNA of Monodelphis domestica (gray short-tailed opossum), 1625 nucleotides long. NCBI's taxonomy places the organism in Eukaryota, Metazoa, Chordata, Mammalia, Didelphimorphia, Didelphidae. The record is from RefSeq and is a predicted model, not a curated record.
CAGAAGGAGGUUUGGGGAGUUAACUGGGAAAAACUGUCACUCCUGUAGUGCCUUCUCUCUGAGCUGGAAGGGAGAACGACUGCUCCAUUAACUAAUGGGAACUAACUAGUUUUGUGGAAAAACUAGGAGGUUCUUGGGUUUGGAGGAAUAUCUGGGAGGAGAUCUGAUCUGUGUUUCCCUGAAGUGCUGUGACAAUCUGGCUGUGACAGUUUGGUUAAGUUUUAUUUUUCAGCAUAUUCAUUGGAGAUGCAGAGGUAAUACUGAGUCAUAUGGAAAAAAGUAGAGAACCUAGGACCUGACAAGGCUGAUGACAAUCUUGGAUGGGUCCACCUUCCUGCCAACUUCUGAUCUUCAGACAACUGGAAAUAACAACUUGACCAGUCCAUGAGCCCUCUCCCCAGAAUUGGAUUUUUAAUAAAAUGGGAAACUUUUAAGCAUUUCUGAGGAAGACAAGUGCAAUGCUGAGUAGAAAAGUCAAGAUUCAAACACAGGACUCAUAAGAAGCAAAAAAGGUAAAAACAUUGGUAAAAAGUAACUUUUUAAAAUUCUUUUAUGGUGAAUUGACAGAGGUAGUCAGUCCCUCACUUUGAACUUUAUCAUCACCAGAGAUUGCAGAAUGAAUUAAUGAGAUAAAGUCCUCCUCCCCUUUUUAAAUCAAGUUCACUUACAUCUGUUUCUUGUUUGUGCAUUCACUUGGCAUAGAGGAGAGGGCAAUGGAUUUAGAGGCUGGAAGAUCUGGGGUAAAAUCUAAGCACUCAAACAGUUGCCAAAUGAUUCUCUUGGCAUGAAUUUCAUCGUUUGUAAAAUUAAAAAGUGUUGCUCAUUUUCUAAGUUCCCUCUGAACUCUGAAUCUAUGAUUCUAUUAUGCUGUUGGUCUAAUAUAACUUGAUAUCUCUAUACCACAAAUACAUAUAUGACCCUGAAUUAAACAGUUAGCAAACAUUGUCACCACCAAUUUAGUUUUUCUCCAUUUGAUUUUUACAAGUUUUUUUUUCUCUCUCUCAAAUGAAGCAGAAAGAAUUGAACCUGAUUUGCAUCUUGUCAGCAUGCUUGAGUUCAAACCAGAAAAUGAACACCAACUUUUAAGUCCAUAAUUUAUAAUCUGCCAAAGAAUGGACAUGUCCACCUACAAGCUGGCACUGGGAGAAUUCUCUAGAACCAAAAUUCUCUGUAACCCCCAAUCCUUUAUAAUCCAAACAAACAAAAUGCAAAGAAAACAAAAACAGUUUCUAGAGGGUGUGUACAUAGAUAGUCAGAGACAAAUAGACAUGAUAAAUUAUAGAUAGAAAGGAGAUAGAUAUGUAUACAGAAGAUAAAUAAAUGAUAUAUCAUAGAUAAAAAGAUAACUAAUACUUUUAAUGCUCUCAUUGAUACAUUGUCUUUGACUGCUUCUUUAUAUAUAAAUAUAAGGAAACAGCUCACUUUUUGUCAUUUUUUUUACCUCUUUUACUCAAUGCCCUUUCAAAGGAAACUAUAAAUUCCUUAUCCUCUAAAAUAGUCAGCAUACAAAUAAAAAGAAUUGAGAUCAUGUAAGUAAAAGAAAACAAUAUUGUUUGUAGGUCAAAGAUGUUUUGCUUGUUUUAGGCAGACAAACAAAUCUGAGAGAGAGAGAGAGACAGAGAGAC